UGCGAGGUGGCGGAAUUGGUAGACGCGCUAGCUUAGGUGUUAGUGUCUUAGGAUGUGGGGUUCGAGUCCCCCCCUCGCACC
This 81-nucleotide transfer RNA is filed under the name Klebsiella sp. NCTC 9187. Its description in RNAcentral is "Raoultella sp. NCTC 9187 tRNA-???(ag)". It matches the Rfam family "tRNA". From Rfam's summary of the family: Transfer RNA (tRNA) molecules are approximately 80 nucleotides in length. Their secondary structure includes four short double-helical elements and three loops (D, anti-codon, and T loops). Further hydrogen bonds mediate the characteristic L-shaped molecular structure. tRNAs have two regions of fundamental functional importance: the anti-codon, which is responsible for specific mRNA codon recognition, and the 3' end, to which the tRNAs corresponding amino acid is attached (by aminoacyl-tRNA synthetases). tRNAs cope with the degeneracy of the genetic code in two manners: having more than one tRNA (with a specific anti-codon) for a particular amino acid; and 'wobble' base-pairing, i.e. permitting non-standard base-pairing at the 3rd anti-codon position. The record is from RNAcentral. Lineage: Bacteria; Pseudomonadati; Pseudomonadota; Gammaproteobacteria; Enterobacterales; Enterobacteriaceae.